CUCAUAGGGGAGGAGACAAGCUCCUGGUACCUACGGCAGGAUCAGUCUCUGAACAAAUAAUUCUGCUCUUCCCUGUUUUCAGCGUUUCUGUGGUUCCCUCCCUCAUUCUACAGCUGGGAGCACCAGGGACAGGGAAGAAGGAAGUCCUGCAGCCGGGCCGGUUUCGUUGCUUUAAGCAGCAGUGAUGUUUUUUCUGCUUUUCUGAAGGGUGUUUGUCCUGCCUCUAGCUGUUCAAAGUCCUAAUAUUGUUAUUGCAGAGGAAGGCAUUUGACACAGCUCCAGAGCAGUCACAGCCAACACCUCCAUGGCCAUGGCAUUUUGGGCAAGUGGUUUGAACAAGUUAUAUCCCAGGACCAUUGGCUCUGGAAGAGAAGAUACUGCCAGCUGUGAGCACAGUAAUAAGGUAAUGCUGUUAAUGCUAAACCAAAGGGUAGAAAUAAAAUCAGCUUUCCCAACAUCAGCACUUACAAGUUGUGAUGCAUUACAAAUUGUGACCUAUUUAGAUGUCUAUUUUAGAAUGAAGAAAUAUGUCCUAGAAGUGUCUAAUUUUUUCCACUGAGCCCAGGGUAAUGAGAUAAACAUGUAAAGGUCAGACAAAUCCUGCAGUAAUUUUUAAGUAGAAGAAAGUUAUGGCUUUAGAGCCUGAUCCCUGUGCCUGUACCAUCCCUCA
Molecule: long non-coding RNA, 670 nt
Organism: Passer montanus (Eurasian tree sparrow)
Lineage: Eukaryota; Metazoa; Chordata; Aves; Passeriformes; Passeridae
Exons: 3
Source: RefSeq, a predicted model, not a curated record